UCCUUGGUAGCUCAGUUGGUAGAGCAUGGCGCUUGUAAUGCCAUGGUAGUAGGUUCAAUUCCCGGGAC
This 68-nucleotide transfer RNA is filed under the name Salmo salar (Atlantic salmon). It matches the Rfam family "tRNA". From Rfam's summary of the family: Transfer RNA (tRNA) molecules are approximately 80 nucleotides in length. Their secondary structure includes four short double-helical elements and three loops (D, anti-codon, and T loops). Further hydrogen bonds mediate the characteristic L-shaped molecular structure. tRNAs have two regions of fundamental functional importance: the anti-codon, which is responsible for specific mRNA codon recognition, and the 3' end, to which the tRNAs corresponding amino acid is attached (by aminoacyl-tRNA synthetases). tRNAs cope with the degeneracy of the genetic code in two manners: having more than one tRNA (with a specific anti-codon) for a particular amino acid; and 'wobble' base-pairing, i.e. permitting non-standard base-pairing at the 3rd anti-codon position. The record is from Rfam by way of RNAcentral. Lineage: Eukaryota; Metazoa; Chordata; Actinopteri; Salmoniformes; Salmonidae. RNAcentral also lists the same sequence under 1 other name.